GAUGAACGCUGGCGGCGUGCCUAAUACAUGCAAGUCGAGCGAACAGACGAGGAGCUUGCUCCUCUGACGUUAGCGGCGGACGGGUGAGUAACACGUGGAUAACCUACCUAUAAGACUGGGAUAACUUCGGGAAACCGGAGCUAAUACCGGAUAAUAUAUUGAACCGCAUGGUUCAAUAGUGAAAUACGGUUUUGCUGUCACUUAUAGAUGGAUCCGCGCCGCAUUAGCUAGUUGGUAAGGUAACGGCUUACCAAGGCGACGAUGCGUAGCCGACCUGAGAGGGUGAUCGGCCACACUGGAACUGAGACACGGUCCAGAGUCCUACGGGAGGCAGCAGUAGGGAAUCGUCCGCAAAGGGCGAAAGCCUGACGGAGCAACGCCGCGUGAGUGAUGAAGGUCUUCGGAUCGUAAAACUCUGUUAUUAGGGGAGAACAAAUGUGUAAGUAACUAUGCACGUCUUGACGGUACCUAAUCAGAAAGCCACGGCUAACUACGUG
Molecule: ribosomal RNA, 497 nt
Filed under: uncultured bacterium
Lineage: Bacteria
Description: partial 16S ribosomal RNA
Rfam family: Bacterial small subunit ribosomal RNA
Source: RNAcentral